Molecule: ribosomal RNA, 249 nt
Filed under: uncultured bacterium
Lineage: Bacteria
Description: partial 16S ribosomal RNA
Rfam family: Bacterial small subunit ribosomal RNA
Source: RNAcentral
UACGGAGGGUGCGAGCGUUGUCCGGAAUCACUGGGCGUAAAGGGCGCGUAGGUGGCGCGGGCAGUCAACGGUGAAAGUUCGGGGCUCAACCCUGAAUCGGCCGUCGAUACUCCUGGGCUCGAGCACUGUAGAGGCAGAUGGAAUUCCGGGUGUAGCGGUGGAAUGCGUAGAGAUCCGGAAGAACACCGGUGGCGAAGGCGGUCUGCUGGGCAGUUGCUGACACUGGAGGCGCGACAGCGUGGGGAGCAA